Molecule: ribosomal RNA, 257 nt
Filed under: uncultured bacterium
Lineage: Bacteria
Description: partial small subunit ribosomal RNA
Rfam family: Bacterial small subunit ribosomal RNA
Source: RNAcentral
AGGACGAACGCUGGCGGCGUGCUUAACACAUGCAAGUCGAGCGGUGAUCCUCCUUCGGGAGGUGAUCAGCGGCGAACGGGUGAGUAACACGUGGGCAACCUGCCCCUCACACUGGGAUAACCUCGGGAAACCGGGGCUAAUACCGGAUACGACCUUGAGCGGCAUCUCUUGAGGUGGAAAGCUCCGACGGUGAGGGAUGGGCCCGCGGCCUAUCAGCUUGUUGGUGGGGUAAUGGCCUACCAAGGCGACGACGGGUA